Molecule: non-coding RNA, 72 nt
Organism: Myxozyma melibiosi
Lineage: Eukaryota; Fungi; Ascomycota; Lipomycetes; Lipomycetales; Lipomycetaceae
Source: the annotation of a RefSeq genome assembly
GGACCGUUAGUGUAGUGGUUAUCAUACUUGCCUUCCAAGCAGGUGACAGGGGUUCGAUUCUCCUACGGUUCA